This 253-nucleotide ribosomal RNA is filed under the name uncultured bacterium. RNAcentral describes it as "partial 16S ribosomal RNA". It matches the Rfam family "Bacterial small subunit ribosomal RNA", at positions 524 to 776 of the family's 1533-position model. The record is from RNAcentral.
UACGUAGGUGGCAAGCGUUAUCCGGAAUUAUUGGGCGUAAAGCGCGCGUAGGCGGUUUCUUAAGUCUGAUGUGAAAGCCCACGGCUCAACCGUGGAGGGUCAUUGGAAACUGGGAAACUUGAGUGCAGAGGAGGAAAGUGGAAUUCCAUGUGUAGCGGUGAAAUGCGCAGAGAUAUGGAGGAACACCAGUGGCGAAGGCGACUUUCUGGUCUGUAACUGACGCUGAUGUGCGAAAGCGUGGGGAUCAAACAGG